GCCAGCAGCUAUCACUCUGCAGCUCUCACCUGGUCACCCACUGAGGCUAAGCAGGGUUUUGCCUGGUCAGUACCUGGAUGGGACAUCUCCUGGGAAAACUAGGUUUCUGCUGGAA
Sinocyclocheilus anshuiensis is the source of this 115-nucleotide ribosomal RNA. NCBI's taxonomy places the organism in Eukaryota, Metazoa, Chordata, Actinopteri, Cypriniformes, Cyprinidae. The record is from Ensembl.